This is a long non-coding RNA of Ipomoea nil (Japanese morning glory), 716 nucleotides long. RefSeq lists it as uncharacterized. The transcript has 2 exons. The record is from RefSeq and is a predicted model, not a curated record. NCBI's taxonomy places the organism in Eukaryota, Viridiplantae, Streptophyta, Magnoliopsida, Solanales, Convolvulaceae.
ACUUUGAAGGUUGAAAAGAGAUGAGGAUGGUGAGUGACAUUGAUUGUUCGGAGUGCCCGGGUCUGUGUGGGUUCUUAGUUGUUGAAGCUUAUCCAAAGGGGUACUCUUCCAAGAUCCCCUCUGAUUUGGUCCUUUUUUCUGGGGAUUGGCUUCAUAGAGGUAAUAUCCUGUGUUGCUCUUAUACCUAUAUCUAUAUUUAUUAUCUUAGAUAUACACCCAUAAAAUAUUUAGAGAUCUAGAUAUAUUUAUUUUUAUUGGACUUCUAUAGAAAGGGACCAUGGACCCAUACUCACACAAGUGUGGGAGUAGCCUACUGGACCCAAUCUUUCACAGCAAAGGGGAUCGGAAAUUCAUUUGCUUAAUUUGUUCAGUUCUAAGAGCCCUUUUCCGGCUUAGCUCCCCCAUCUCCUUUUAGCCUUCUUUUUGGUCUUCCCCGCGAUUCCUCUCCAGGCACUUUGAGGAAUAAGGAGAUUGAAUUAACUAGAAAAGCUCUUGCAUUUAGGUGUUUGGUAUAUUCUCUUUGACAAUGUUUAGAUCAGCCAUGGCCAUUUAUCCUCGCAACUUCUGUCGGCGAAGAGCAUGAAUCUGUUAGGCAGGAGUAAAGAAGACGACCUUGAGUAUUAUUAUGAUAUGAUUGAGAUCCUUUUGAGUGAAUUUUAGCUGUUUCUAUAUGCCGACUAAUUAAUGCUAUAGUAUAUUUAUUUGAGUUAUUUUUA